GAUGAACGCUAGCGAUAGGCUUAACACAUGCAAGUCGAGGGGCAGCGGGAAUGUUAGCAAUAACAUUUGCCGGCGACCGGCGCACGGGUGAGUAACACGUAUGCAACCUGCCCGUAGCAGGGGGAUAAGCGGAAGAAAUUCCGUCCAAUACCGCGUAAUAUCCUUUAGGGGCAUCCCUUUUGGGAUUAAAGAAAUUCGGCUACGGAUGGGCAUGCGGCGCAUUAGCUAGUUGGCGGGGUAACGGCCCACCAAGGCGACGAUGCGUAGGGGUUCUGAGAGGCUCAACGGCCACAUUGGGACUGAGAUACGGCCCAG
Molecule: ribosomal RNA, 315 nt
Filed under: uncultured bacterium
Lineage: Bacteria
Description: bacterial SSU rRNA
Rfam family: Bacterial small subunit ribosomal RNA
Source: RNAcentral